AGCGAACGCUGGCGGCAGGCUUAACACAUGCAAGUCGAGCGGACGUAGCAAUACGUUAGCGGCAGACGGGUGAGUAACACGUGGGAACGUGCCCUUUGGUUCGGGAUAACCCAGGGAAACCUGGGCUAAUACCGGAUAAGCCCUUACGGGGAAAGAUUUAUCGCCAAAGGAUCGGCCCGCGUCUGAUUAGCUAGUUGGUGGGGUAAUGGCCCACCAAGGCUACGAUCAGUAGCUGGUCUGAGAGGAUGAUCAGCCACACUGGGACUGAGAUACGGCCCAGACUCCUACGGGAGGCAGCAGUGGGGAAUAUUGGACAAUGGGCGAAAGCCUGAUCCAGCCAUGCCGCGUGAUAGAUGAAGGCCCUCUGGGUUGUAAAUAUCUUUUAUCUGGGAAGAACACUCUAUU
RNAcentral lists this ribosomal RNA (405 nucleotides) under uncultured bacterium. RNAcentral describes it as "bacterial SSU rRNA". It matches the Rfam family "Bacterial small subunit ribosomal RNA", at positions 29 to 458 of the family's 1533-position model. The record is from RNAcentral.